AUUUAUUAAAUAUCUUUAAAGUUUUAUAAACACGAAGUAAUGCGAGCUAAAUAUAGGUAUUUAUUAGAAAUUUAUGACGCGUAUUACAUAACACGGUGGAAAUAAUUAUUUAGUGGUGAAAGGCUUUACACGCAUUACGAUAUCUUGUUGUGCAAAUAAUAUAUCUAGUAUAUAAAAAUCAAACUAGUAAAGCCAAGCUUGUUAGUGUACAUCUCGUAAAUUUCGCUAGCGCAUCAAAGUUUAACCGCUAGUAAGUUGAAAAUGACAAUAUUAUUCAAUUUACAUAAUGUUUAACCUUGCGCAUCACUAAACCCGUACCCAAGUUACUAAUGUAUUUAUGAGUAGUAUUAUAAAAUACUUUAAAGGAACUCGGCAAAGAGCUGCUCGACUGUUUAUCAAAAACAUAACUUUAUGAUAAAAUAUAAAGCUUUUUCUGCUCCAUGGGAAUCUAAAUAGCCGCAGUACCCUGACUGUGCAAAGGUAGCAUAAUCAGUUGACUUAUAAUUGAAGUCUAGAAUGAAUGAAUAUACGGGCAGCGACUGUCUCAGAAGUAUUUUUACUAACUUAGUUACCAAGUGCAAAUACUUGAAGUUAUAAAAAAGACGAGAAGACCCUAGAAACUUUAUUUAUUUUGUUGGGGCGACAGAAUUACAAUAUAACUAAUUUUAUAUUACAAGAAAUAUAAGGGAAAGAACAAGUUACUCUAGGGAUAACAGCAUAAUUUAAUCUAAGUUUGUGACCUCGAUGUUGGAUUAGGUAUAAUAGUUUUUAAAAGAAUCUAUUUAUAGCUCUGUUCGAGCAAUAUAACCUACGUGAUCUGAGUUCAGACCGG
This 832-nucleotide ribosomal RNA is filed under the name Arianta arbustorum. RNAcentral's name for it is "partial 16S ribosomal RNA". Lineage: Eukaryota; Metazoa; Mollusca; Gastropoda; Stylommatophora; Helicidae. The record is from RNAcentral.